Molecule: unclassified non-coding RNA, 271 nt
Filed under: fungal sp.
Lineage: Eukaryota; Fungi
Description: partial internal transcribed spacer region
Rfam family: Eukaryotic small subunit ribosomal RNA (bases 1-46)
Source: RNAcentral
AAGUCGUAACAAGGUAACCGUAGGUGAACCUGCGGUUGGAUCAUUAAUAAAUUCGAGAGCAGAGUUGAUCGAGCAAUCGUGAUCUCUGUUUCUUAACAAUUUGUGAAUCGUUUAUUGUCUCUUGUGGUUGAUGUACUUCUUACGCGCGCUUUACGGCCGCUUGGAUGUCUCUCCACACGUGAAUCUUAACAUUGUAAUAUAACUAUUUGUCUUGAAACUUUAAACCUAAAAAAUUUAAAAACAACUUUUGACAACGGAUCUCUAGGCUCUC